This 347-nucleotide ribosomal RNA is filed under the name uncultured bacterium. RNAcentral describes it as "bacterial SSU rRNA". It matches the Rfam family "Bacterial small subunit ribosomal RNA", at positions 29 to 376 of the family's 1533-position model. The record is from RNAcentral.
AUUGAACGCUGGCGGCAUGCCUAACACAUGCAAGUCGAACGGCAGCGCGGGUAGCAAUACCUGGCGGCGAGUGGCGGACGGGUGAGGAAUACAUCGGAAUCUACCCAGUCGUGGGGGAUAACGCAUCGAAAGGUGCGCUAAUACCGCAUACGACCGAGAGGUGAAAGCGGAGGACCGAAAGGCUUCGCGCGAAUGGAUGAGCCGAUGUCGGAUUAGCUAGNGGCGGGGUAAGAGCCCACCAAGGCGACGAUCCGUAGCUGGUCUGAGAGGAUGAUCAGCCACACUGGGACUGAGACACGGCCCAGACUCCUACGGGAGGCAGCAGUGGGGAAUAUUGGACAAUGGGC